Molecule: ribosomal RNA, 628 nt
Filed under: uncultured Lachnospiraceae bacterium
Lineage: Bacteria; Bacillati; Bacillota; Clostridia; Lachnospirales; Lachnospiraceae
Description: bacterial SSU rRNA
Rfam family: Bacterial small subunit ribosomal RNA
Source: RNAcentral
GAAGCUUCGGCAGAUUUAGCUGGUUUCUAGUGGCGGACGGGUGAGUAACGCGUGGGCAACCUGCCUUAUACAGGGGGAUAACAGUCAAAAAUGGCUGCUAAUACCGCAUAAGCGCACAGAGCUGCAUGGCUCAGUGUGAAAAACUCCGGUGGAAUAAGAUGGACCCGCGUUGGAUUAGCUGGUUGGUGGGGUAACGGCCCACCAAGGCGACGAUCCAUAGCCGGCCUGAGAGGGUGAACGGCCACAUUGGGACUGAGACACGGCCCAGACUCCUACGGGAGGCAGCAGUGGGGAAUAUUGCACAAUGGGGGAAACCCUGAUGCAGCGACGCCGCGUGAAGGAAGAAGUAUCUCGGUAUGUAAACUUCUAUCAGCAGGGAAGAUAAUGACGGUACCUGACUAAGAGGCCCCGGCUAACUACGUGCCAGCAGCCGCGGUAAUACGUAGGGGGCAAGCGUUAUCCGGAUUUACUGGGUGUAAAGGGAGCGUAGACGGUGUGGCAAGUCUGAUGUGAAAGGCAUGGGCUCAACCCGUGGACUGCAUUGGAAACUGUCAUACUUGAGUGCCGGAGGGGUAAGCGGAAUUCCUAGUGUAGCGGUGAAAUGCGUAGAUAUUAGGAGGAACACCAG